GCUGGGCAUGGUGGCGCAUGCCUGUAAUCCCAGCUACUCAGGAGGCUGAGGCAGGAGAAUUGCCUGAACCCAGGAGGCUGAGGUUGCAGUGAGCCGAGAUCGCGCCAUUGCACUCCAGCCUGGGUAACAAGAGCGAAACUCCGUCUCAA
This 149-nucleotide small RNA is filed under the name Callithrix jacchus (white-tufted-ear marmoset). RNAcentral's name for it is "Metazoan signal recognition particle RNA (ENSCJAG00000070837.1)". Lineage: Eukaryota; Metazoa; Chordata; Mammalia; Primates; Cebidae. The record is from Rfam by way of RNAcentral.